UCUGGCCUCAAAUCAGGUAGGACUACCCGCUGAACUUAAGCAUAUCAAUAAG
RNAcentral lists this ribosomal RNA (52 nucleotides) under uncultured soil eukaryote. Its description in RNAcentral is "partial 28S ribosomal RNA". The record is from RNAcentral.